CCUACGGGAGGCAGCAGUGGGGAAUAUUGGGCAAUGGAGGAAACUCUGACCCAGCGACGCCGCGUGAGGGAUGAAGGCCUUCGGGUUGUAAACCUCUUUCAGUAGGGAAGAAGCGAAAGUGACGGUACCUACAGAAGAAGCACCGGCUAACUAUGUGCCAGCAGCCGCGGUAAUACAUAGGGUGCAAGCGUUGUCCGGAAUUAUUGGGCGUAAAGAGCUCGUAGGUGGUUCGAUACGUCGGAUGUGAAAAUCAGGGGCUCAACCCCUGACCUGCAUCCGAUACGGUCGAGCUAGAGUUUGGUAGGGGAGACUGGAAUUCCUGGUGUAGCGGUGGAAUGCGCAGAUAUCAGGAGGAACACCGAUGGCGAAGGCAGGUCUCUGGGCCAAUACUGACACUGAGGAGCGAAAGCGUGGGGAGCGAACAGGAUUAGAUACCCUGGUAGUCCACGCUGUAAACGGUGGGCGCUAGUUGUGCGAACCUUCCACGGUUUGUGCGACGCNGCUACGACAUAGCGCCCGCCGUCGGGAGGACGAGUCGCGAGAGUUAAACUUAAAGUAGUAGUUAGAGUGUUGAGAGNGCGACGACGACGACGAGGAGGAGG
This 602-nucleotide ribosomal RNA is filed under the name uncultured bacterium. RNAcentral's name for it is "bacterial SSU rRNA". The stretch from base 1 to 521 matches the Rfam family "Bacterial small subunit ribosomal RNA", at positions 338 to 873 of the family's 1533-position model. The record is from RNAcentral.